UACGUAGGGUGCAAGCGUUGUCCGGAAUUAUUGGGCGUAAAGAGCUCGUAGGCGGUUUGUCGCGUCGAAUGUGAAAACCCGGGGCUCAACCCCGGGCCUGCAUUCGAUACGGGCAGACUAGAGUUCGGUAGGGGAGUCUGGAAUUCCUGGUGUAGCGGUGAAAUGCGCAGAUAUCAGGAGGAACACCGGUGGCGAAGGCGGGACUCUGGGCCGAUACUGACGCUGCGGAGCGAAAGCGUGGGGAGCAAACAGG
Molecule: ribosomal RNA, 253 nt
Filed under: uncultured bacterium
Lineage: Bacteria
Description: partial 16S ribosomal RNA
Rfam family: Bacterial small subunit ribosomal RNA
Source: RNAcentral